RNAcentral lists this ribosomal RNA (926 nucleotides) under Mycobacterium sp. EE13a. Its description in RNAcentral is "bacterial SSU rRNA". It matches the Rfam family "Bacterial small subunit ribosomal RNA", at positions 65 to 1005 of the family's 1533-position model. The record is from RNAcentral. Lineage: Bacteria; Bacillati; Actinomycetota; Actinomycetes; Mycobacteriales; Mycobacteriaceae.
AACGGAAAGGCCCUUCGGGGUACUCGAGUGGCGAACGGGUGAGUAACACGUGGGUGAUCUGCCCUGCACUUUGGGAUAAGCCUGGGAAACUGGGUCUAAUACCGAAUAUGACCAUGCACUUCCUGGUGUGUGGUGGAAAGCUUUUGCGGUGUGGGAUGGGCCCGCGGCCUAUCAGCUUGUUGGUGGGGUAAUGGCCUACCAAGGCGACGACGGGUAGCCGGCCUGAGAGGGUGACCGGCCACACUGGGACUGAGAUACGGCCCAGACUCCUACGGGAGGCAGCAGUGGGGAAUAUUGCACAAUGGGCGCAAGCCUGAUGCAGCGACGCCGCGUGAGGGAUGACGGCCUUCGGGUUGUAAACCUCUUUCAGCACAGACGAAGCGCAAGUGACGGUAUGUGCAGAAGAAGGACCGGCCAACUACGUGCCAGCAGCCGCGGUAAUACGUAGGGUCCGAGCGUUGUCCGGAAUUACUGGGCGUAAAGAGCUCGUAGGUGGUUUGUCGCGUUGUUCGUGAAAACUCACAGCUUAACUGUGGGCGUGCGGGCGAUACGGGCAGACUUGAGUACUGCAGGGGAGACUGGAAUUCCUGGUGUAGCGGUGGAAUGCGCAGAUAUCAGGAGGAACACCGGUGGCGAAGGCGGGUCUCUGGGCAGUAACUGACGCUGAGGAGCGAAAGCGUGGGGAGCGAACAGGAUUAGAUACCCUGGUAGUCCACGCCGUAAACGGUGGGUACUAGGUGUGGGUUUCCUUCCUUGGGAUCCGUGCCGUAGCUAACGCAUUAAGUACCCCGCCUGGGGAGUACGGCCGCAAGGCUAAAACUCAAAGAAAUUGACGGGGGCCCGCACAAGCGGCGGAGCAUGUGGAUUAAUUCGAUGCAACGCGAAGAACCUUACCUGGGUUUGACAUGCACAGGACGCCAGUAGAG